Molecule: ribosomal RNA, 429 nt
Filed under: Bacillota bacterium
Lineage: Bacteria; Bacillati; Bacillota
Description: Firmicutes bacterium partial 16S ribosomal RNA
Rfam family: Bacterial small subunit ribosomal RNA
Source: RNAcentral
UGGGGAAUUUUGGACAAUGGGCGAAAGCCUGAUCCAGCAAUGCCGCGUGUGUGAAGAAGGCCUUCGGGUUGUAAAGCACUUUUGUCCGGAAAGAAAUGGCUCUGGUUAAUACCUGGGGUCGAUGACGGUACCGGAAGAAUAAGGACCGGCUAGCUACGUGCCAGCAGCCGCGGUAAUACGUAGGGUCCAAGCGUUAAUCGGAAUUACUGGGCGUAAAGCGUGCGCAGGCGGUUGUGCAAGACCGAUGUGAAAUCCCCGAGCUUAACUUGGGAAUUGCAUUGGUGACUGCACGGCUAGAGUGUGUCAGAGGGGGGUAGAAUUCCACGUGUAGCAGUGAAAUGCGUAGAGAUGUGGAGGAAUACCGAUGGCGAAGGCAGCCCCCUGGGAUAACACUGACGCUCAUGCACGAAAGCGUGGGGAGCAAACAGG